Molecule: long non-coding RNA, 1199 nt
Filed under: Homo sapiens (human)
Lineage: Eukaryota; Metazoa; Chordata; Mammalia; Primates; Hominidae
Description: HSALNT0072911
Source: RNAcentral
UGGAAGAAUGCCUUCCAGAUGUUGUUUAAAAUAAAUGAAGGAAGUUUGGUGACAAAAAUAGAAAGAAACUAUCAUCAGAGUGUACGGACGACCUAUAGAAUGGGAGAAGAAUUUUGCAAUCCACCCUUCUGACAAAGGAAUAAUAUCCAGAAUUUACAAGGAAUUUAAACAAAUUUACAAGAAAAAAAAAACAGUCCCAUCCAAAAGUGAAGAAAGGAUAUGAACUGACACUUCUUAAAAGAAGACUUCUAUGCUGCCAGCAAAUAUAUGAAAAAAAGCUCAACAUCACUGAUCAUCAGAGAAAUGCAAAUCAAAACCACAAUGAGAUACCAUCUCACACCAGACAGGGUGGCAGUUAUUAGAAAGUCAGGAAACAAUAGAUGCUGGCAAGGCUGUGGAGAAAUAGGAAAGCCUUUACACUGUUGGUGGGAGUGUUAAUUAGUUCAGCCAUUGUAGAAUACAGUAUGGCAAUUCCUCAAGGAUCUAGAACAAGAAAUACCAUUUGACUCAACAAUCCCAUUACUGGGUAUUUACCCAAAGGAAUAUAAAUCAUUCUACUAUAAAGACACAUGCACACAUACGUUUAUUCCAGCACUAUUUACCAGAGCAAAGACAUGGAGCCAACCCAAAUGCCCAUCAAUGAUAGAUUGGAUAAAAAAAAAAAAAUGUGGGACAUAUACACCAUGGAAUACUAUGCAGCCAUGAAAAAAUGAGAUCAUGUCCUUUGCAGGGACAUGGAUGAAGCUGGAAGACAUUAUCCUCAGCAAACUAACACAGGAAGAGAAAACCAAACAUCACAUGUUCUCACUCAUAAGGGAGUGUUGAACAAUGAGAAGACAUGGACACAGAGAGGGGAACAACACACACCAGGGCCUUUGAGGGGUGGGGGAUGAUGGGAAGGAAUUAGAGGUUGAGUCAGUAGAUGCAGCAAACCACCAUGUCACACGUAUAUCUAGGUAAAAAACCUGCACAUUCUGCACAUAUAUCCUUUUUGCUUUUUUGUUUUAAUUUGGGAUUUUAGAAGAAAUAAAGAAAAACAACUUAAAAAAGAAUGCAAGCUCCUAGAGGAAGGGUAGGUUGGAGGGUGGAUAGGGAAAGGGGAGAUGUUGGUGAAAAGAUGCAAGGUUUUAAUAAAGAGGAAUAGGUUUUAGUAAUCUCUUGCAGAGCAGAAAGACCAUUGUUAAUAAUAACAUAUUUUA